Non-coding RNA from Octopus bimaculoides (California two-spot octopus), 175 nucleotides. Lineage: Eukaryota; Metazoa; Mollusca; Cephalopoda; Octopoda; Octopodidae. The record is from Rfam.
GGAAAAAAAAGUACUCAAAUACCAGAGGUAGAGUAAUAUGAUUACUUUAAAAGCAGCAGAAAUAUAACAAAAGCUGUUACUCAGAGUUUCACGUUCCCGUUCGUUGGGAACGUGAAACUCUGAGUAACAGCUUUUGUCAUAUUUCUGCUGCUUUUAAAUAAAUGCAGUCAUAUAC